RNAcentral lists this ribosomal RNA (481 nucleotides) under uncultured bacterium. RNAcentral's name for it is "bacterial SSU rRNA". It matches the Rfam family "Bacterial small subunit ribosomal RNA", at positions 33 to 524 of the family's 1533-position model. The record is from RNAcentral.
ACGCUGGCGGCGUGCCUAAUACAUGCAAGUCGAACGAGGUGCUUUUGUAGCAAUACGAGAGUAUCCUAGUGGCGAACGGGUGAGUAACGCGUUGGUGACCUACCCCAAAGUGUGGGAUAACAGUCCGAAAGGAUUGCUAAUACCGCAUGUGGUUAUUGGAUUUAGAAACCGGUAACUAAAGGAGCAAUUCGCUUUGGGAGGGACCUGCGUCCCAUCAGCUAGUUGGUGAGGUAAUGGCUCACCAAGGCUACGACGGGUAGGGGACCUGAGAGGGUGACCCCCCACAAUGGAACUGAAACACGGUCCAUACACCUACGGGUGGCAGCAGUAGGGAAUAUUGCACAAUGGGCGAAAGCCUGAUGCAGCAACGCCGCGUGUGUGAUGAAGGCCUUCGGGUCGUAAAGCACUUUUCUGGGAGAUGAGAAAGGACAGUAUCCCAGGAAUAAGUCUCGGCUAACUACGUGCCAGCAGCCGCGGUAAA